This 253-nucleotide ribosomal RNA is filed under the name uncultured bacterium. RNAcentral describes it as "partial 16S ribosomal RNA". It matches the Rfam family "Bacterial small subunit ribosomal RNA", at positions 524 to 776 of the family's 1533-position model. The record is from RNAcentral.
UACGAAGGGGGCUAGCGUUGCUCGGAAUCACUGGGCGUAAAGCGCACGUAGGCGGAUUGCUAAGUCAGGGGUGAAAUCCUGGAGCUCAACUCCAGAACUGCCUUUGAUACUGGCGAUCUCGAGUCCGGGAGAGGUGAGUGGAACUGCGAGUGUAGAGAUGAAAUUCGUAGAUAUUCGCAAGAACACCAGUGGCGAAGGCGGCUCACUGGCCCGGUACUGACGCUGAGGUGCGAAAGCGUGGGGAGCAAACAGG